CAAUAGCGUAUAUUUAAGUUGUUGCAGUUAAAAAGCUCGUAGUCGGAUUUUGGCUGAGAACGAACGGUCCGCCGUUAGGUGUGCACUGUUUGGUCUCAGCUUCCUGGUGAGGAGGUGUGCUUCACGGCCACUUAGUCACCGUGGUUACUUUGAAAAAAUUAGAGUGUUCAAAGCGGGCUUACGCUUGAAUAUAUUAGCAUGGAAUAACACCAUAGGACUCCUGUCCUAUUUCGUUGGUCUCGGGACGGGAGUAAUGAUUAAGAGGAACAGUUGGGGGCAUUCGUAUUUCAUUGUCAGAGGUGAAAUUCUUGGAUUUAUGAAAGACGAACUUCUGCGAAAGCGUUUGCCAAGGAUGUUUUCAUUG
This 364-nucleotide ribosomal RNA is filed under the name uncultured eukaryote. Its description in RNAcentral is "partial 18S ribosomal RNA". It matches the Rfam family "Eukaryotic small subunit ribosomal RNA", at positions 592 to 975 of the family's 1831-position model. The record is from RNAcentral.